Molecule: ribosomal RNA, 575 nt
Filed under: Alloclavaria purpurea
Lineage: Eukaryota; Fungi; Basidiomycota; Agaricomycetes; Hymenochaetales; Rickenellaceae
Description: eukaryotic LSU rRNA
Rfam family: 5.8S ribosomal RNA (bases 184-337)
Source: RNAcentral
CUCCUUAACCAGAGGCAUGUGCUCGCCCCGCUCAUCCACUCAACCCCAUGUGCACUCUUGAGAUGUGGCCCUCCGUAAUGGGAGCAGUUCCCUUUCACGAGGUCGAGCCGGGGCCGCAUCUCCCCCCUUCACACAAACCUAUCAAAAAGUAUCACAGAAUGUAACCUUGCGUUAAAUAAAUACAACUUUCAACAACGGAUCUCUUGGCUCUCGCAUCGAUGAAGAACGCAGCGAAAUGCGAUAAGUAAUGUGAAUUGCAGAAUUCAGUGAAUCAUCGAAUCUUUGAACGCACCUUGCGCUCCUUGGUAUUCCGAGGAGCAUGCCUGUUUGAGUGUCAUGAAAUUCUCAACUUCCCCCGCUGCUUUGCUGCAACGGUGGAAGCUUGGAUUUGGGGGUUUGCUGGCCCGUCACCGGGUUGGCUCCCCUUGAAUGCAUUAGCUAGACUCUCCGACUCGGAGUGGUUCGCGGUGUGAUAAUUAUCUACACCCCGGCAGUCGAGCUUCCAAUCGUCUUCGGACAGCUCUAUUGAUCUGACCUCAAAUCAGGUAGGACUACCCGCUGAACUUAAGCAUAUC